GUAUUAACUUACAUUUUCAAUUACGUGUUCGAAAACUGUCGGGUCACCUGAGUCUUCAUUCGCGAUCUUUUCUUCUCUUAUCGUCCCUUGAUCGAUUUUAUUAAUCGAAUCCUCAGGUAGCGUUACAGGCAUCGCGUGUGUCCCAACAAUCUAACACUACGAUCAAGAGCAAAACAGGCGACAUCGUUUCGAAAAUCGAUUUCCACGAUAAUCCCAACUUCCGUCGAGGGAAAACACGUUCCAAUGGUUCACAGGAGUUUCCACGAUGCGCAAUAAUCGAAAUGCAACUGCGUGAAGCGAUGCCGCAACUGGGAGCCUGAAUAUAUAACGCUUCCCGUACAUAGGAUUCCUCUUAUCGAAUGGAGGUACCC
RNAcentral lists this unclassified non-coding RNA (371 nucleotides) under Bombus terrestris (buff-tailed bumblebee). RNAcentral's name for it is "misc RNA ENSBTSG00005035585.1". Lineage: Eukaryota; Metazoa; Arthropoda; Insecta; Hymenoptera; Apidae. The record is from RNAcentral.